This 301-nucleotide ribosomal RNA is filed under the name uncultured bacterium. RNAcentral's name for it is "partial 16S ribosomal RNA". It matches the Rfam family "Bacterial small subunit ribosomal RNA", at positions 509 to 807 of the family's 1533-position model. The record is from RNAcentral.
CAGUAGCCGCGGUAAUUCGUAGGUGGCAAGCGUUAUCCGGAAUUAUUGGGCGUAAAGCGCGCGUAGGUGGUUUUUUAAGUCUGAUGUGAAAGCCCACGACUCAACCGUGGAGGGUCAUUGGAAACUGGAAAACUUGAGUGCAGAAGAGGAAAGUGGAACUCCAUGUGUAGCGGUGAAAUGCGCAGAGAUAUGGAGGAACACCAGUGGCGAAGGCGACUUUCUGGUCUGUAACUGACGCUGAUGUGCGAAAGCGUGGGGAUCAAACAGGAUUAGAGACCCCGGUAGUCCCUGUCUCUUAUAC